AGUCUCAUGGUCUAGUGGUAUGACGUUCGCCUCACAAUUCAUUUCAUAUGGAUUGAGUGCGCGACAGGUCCCGGGUUCGAUCCCCGGUGAGACUA
This is a non-coding RNA of Massarina eburnea CBS 473.64, 95 nucleotides long. The record is from the annotation of a GenBank genome assembly. NCBI's taxonomy places the organism in Eukaryota, Fungi, Ascomycota, Dothideomycetes, Pleosporales, Massarinaceae.